CUCGACAACAGAUAUCUCGGCUCUCACAUUGAUAAAGAACUUAGAGAAAUGUGAUACUUGGUGUGAAUGGCAGAAUCUCAUGAACCAUCGAGUAUUUGAAUGCAAGUUGCGCCCGAAGCCUUUUGGCCGAGGGCACGUCUUCCUGGGAAUCACG
This 154-nucleotide ribosomal RNA is filed under the name Begonia lukuana. RNAcentral describes it as "5.8S ribosomal RNA". It matches the Rfam family "5.8S ribosomal RNA". From Rfam's summary of the family: 5.8S ribosomal RNA (5.8S rRNA) is a component of the large subunit of the eukaryotic ribosome. It is transcribed by RNA polymerase I as part of the 45S precursor that also contains 18S and 28S rRNA. Functionally, it is thought that 5.8S rRNA may be involved in ribosome translocation. The record is from RNAcentral. Lineage: Eukaryota; Viridiplantae; Streptophyta; Magnoliopsida; Cucurbitales; Begoniaceae.